CCGCGGUGCUGAAACGGCGCGGUCCGACGAGGGAGGAGGGAAGGGCUCGGCCUGGGCAAGGGGCGGGCUCUCCGGAGCCGUGGGCUGGAAACCGGGAGGGGGCAGGGCGGUACCAGCCGGCUCCAGACCCUGGUCGGCUUCGGAGCGGGCAAUAGAGGAGACAGGGCCGGCUAGAGCGGACUCAGGCAUUUGUCAAGCCUCCCUUGACGAAGCCAAGGAUGCCCUUGUGCUGUUAAGCCUCUUUCCCUCUGCCUUGAAGGGACCUGCCCCUUCUGUCCCGUCCUCAGGCUCCUCCCCAACCUGCCUGAGGAGUGACCCACUUCUGGGCCUUCACCUACAAAGCCAGGCAGUUGCAGCUCACAGGCCUCCAGCCCAGGGCCUGCUGCUCUCACCAUGGUGAAGUUGCUGCCUGCCCAGGAGGCGGCUAAGAUCUACCAUACCAACUAUGUGCGGAACUCGCGGGCCGUGGGUGUGAUGUGGGGCACGCUCACCAUCUGCUUCUCUGUGCUGGUCAUGGCCCUCUUCAUCCAGCCAUACUGGAUCGGGGACAGCGUCAACACACCUCAGGCAGGCUACUUUGGGCUUUUCUCCUACUGCGUGGGCAACGUGCUGUCCUCCGAGCUCAUCUGCAAGGGUGGUCCCCUGGAUUUCUCCUCCAUCCCCUCCAGAGCCUUCAAGACUGCCAUGUUCUUCGUGGCCCUGGGCAUGUUCCUCAUCAUUGGCUCUAUCAUCUGCUUCAGCCUGUUCUUCGUCUGCAACACCGCCACUGUCUACAAGAUCUGUGCAUGGAUGCAGCUGGCUGCAGCUACAGGCCUAAUGAUUGGCUGCCUGGUCUACCCAGACGGUUGGGACUCAAGUGAGGUGCGGCGCAUGUGUGGGGAGCAGACGGGCAAGUACACCCUGGGCCACUGCACCAUCCGCUGGGCCUUUAUGCUGGCCAUCCUCAGCAUCGGUGACGCCCUCAUCCUCUCCUUCUUGGCCUUUGUGUUGGGCUACCGGCAAGACAAGCUCCUCCCUGAUGACUACAAGGCAGAUGGAAGCGAGGAAGUCUGAAGCAGCUGAAGGGUCGGUCGUCUAUUUCUCAGACAUGGAAAAUGGAAUCUAAUUCUUCAGAAAUAAGAAAUUGUUCCACCUAUGCUUUCUUGUCCCUGGUUACUACAGGCCUGAAGCCUGAAAUCACUUUUAUUAUAGGACUAAAACUGGACAGUCUCUUUAGACAAGACCUCCUUCUAUAUACGCUUUCAGGUGAAGCAGAACUCCAGUGACCCACACCAAAUACAUUCAGAGGCUAAGUGAUGUGGGGAGAGCUCAGCUAUUGGGGCUCCAAGUUCUCUUCUUAAGCCCCUCUUACAAGCAGAUCACUUUACGCUCUUUUUUUUUUUUUGAGACAGAGUCUCACUGUGUAACCCUCGGUAGAGUGCUAUGGCAUCACAGCUCACAGCAACCUCCAACUCUUGGGCUUAAGCGAUUCUCUUGCCUCAGCCUCCCGAGUAGUUGGGACUACAGGCACCUACCACAACGCCCGGCUACACUUUACCCCCUUGAGGCCUCUCCUCAGUAAAAUGGGAGGGCUAGAUGAAUCCAUCUCUAGCACUGCAUCUCCCAGGCUGUCUCUGACACCCAGAGAAAUGCCCAGUUGGCUGUAAAAGGGCUCCUGAAGAAGAGUUACUGGAAGUGUGUUGGAUCAUUUUAGGCUGAGGUUUAGGCAGUCCUCUGCUUCUCCCUCCUCAUGUUUUGUUUUCUUAUUGUUGGCCAUCAGAAUCUGGAUCCUUUAACAUCCAUCACAAAGUUUUAUAAAUAUUGGGUGAUAAGAGACUAAUUACUCUUUUUUUUUUUUAGACAGAAUCUCACUAUGUUGCCCUUGGUACAGUGCUGUGGUGUCACAGCUCACAGCAACCUCAAACUCUUGGGCUUAAGCGAUUCUCUUGCCUCAGCCUCCCAAGUAGCUGGGACUUGUGAGGGUGCCUACCACAAUGCCCGGCUGUUUUAUUGUUGCAAUUGUCAUUGUUGUUUAGCUGACCCGGGCUGGGCUCCAACCCGCCAGUCUCAGUGCAUGUGGCUGGCGCUGUAACCACUAUGUAUGGGAGCUGAGCCCAGGAGACUAAUUACUCCUGAGACUAAUUUGCCUACCCCCAGCACCCUUAGCCCCAGGAAUCAAAUAUCACAUUUCUUUGUGUUCACACUGACUCAACCAAAACUGGCUACUAGCUUUGGAUAAUUGUUACUUAUGUUCAAUAAUUUGCUACAGGAAUAGAUUAUAUUUUUCAUCAAAAAUUUUGGAUUUGGCAUACCUAUCCCUCAGUAUCUGUGGAAUAGGUUUGUUUCCAGGACCACCCUCAGGUGGCAAAAUCCACAGAUGCCCAAGUCCUUGAUACAAUAUGGUGUGGUAUUUGCAUAUAGCCUAUGCAGACUUAUUUUAUUUUAUUUUCAGAGCCUCAAGCUGUUGCCCUGGGUAGAGUGCUGUGGCAUCACAGCUCACAGCAACCUCUAACUCCUGGGCUUAAGCAAUUCUCUUGCCUUAGCCUCCCAAGUAGCUGGGACUAUAGGCGCCCACCACAAUGCCGGCUAUUUUUUGAUUGUAGUUGUCAUUGUUGUUUGGCAGGCCCAGGUUGGAUUUGAACCCGCCAGCUCUGGUGUAUGUAGCUAGUGCCUUAGUCGCUUGAGCUACAAGGCACCGAGCCAUCCCACAUAUUUUAAAUCCUCUCUAGAUUUCUUAUAAUACCAAAUACAAUGUAAAUGCUGCAAAAUAAGUUGUUAUACUGUAUCAUUUGGAUUUUUUAUUGUAAUUUUUUUCCUAGUAUUUUUCAUUUGUGGUUAAUUGAAUCUGUGGAUGUAAACUUGCAGCUAUGGAGGGCUGGCUGGCUCCAUAUAUGGUCAAUCUUCUGCCAGGUUCUAGAGAGGAACUCAGUAUAGGUAAUACUUUAUCACAGCAAAAGCCAAGAGGAAGAUAGAUUCUUCAGGGUGUUCCUUGACUGGAGGAUGGUGCAUAAAAAUAGAGUUUUGUUGAUUAUCUGCAAUCAAUGAUCCUGAGAAACAGGUUCUUUUUCUGGUCUCUUUCCAUUUACAGUUACUCAAUAAUAACCUGAGUGCACCAUACUAUUAGAGGCAGAGAGUAAAUGUUGAACAAAACUGCAAUGAAUCUUCUUGCUUGAUCAAGCAGCAAUGACAUGGGAAGGUUUUUAUCCCUGGCUGUUAGGUGUUUGGCCAAUGCACCUUGACCACAUGCCCAGUGUGCUGAUUUCUCUUAAGUUCAGAUAGGCUAGGAAUGAGUAUCCUAGCAUUGUUACAGUUAAAUUGUUUGUGGUGGGAACUAUUAAUGAGAUUUAACCUUGUCACUUAGUCCACAGCAGCUGUUUUACAAGGAUGAUCACAUUCGUAUUUUCUUUUUUUUUUUUUUUUUUAUUUUUAAUUUCAACUUCCUUGUUCAUUCUUCUUUGUUUGAAGUACUGUUUUUUAUCUUCCUCUGGCGGGUUCUUGAUGUUAGUAGAGACGGGGUCUUACUCUGGCUCACAUGCUGUUACAUACAGGUCUCGAACCUCUGAGCUCAGGCAAUCCACCCGCCUCGGCCUCCCACAGUGCUGGGACUACAGGCGUGAGCCACCACGCCCGGCCACAUUCGUAUUUUCUUUUGCUAAUAAAAUUACUUAUCAGGUAUCUUCUUUAUGCAAGCUUGAUCGGUGACAGAAUUUCACAAAUUCUGUAGCUUAAUGACUUUUAAACUAUAUUUAUUUAUUUAUUUCUCAUAAUUAAUUUUUUUAAAAAGGUACAAGAAAAGUUUCUAAAAGUCUCUCUACUCUCAAAACAUUUCUCACUGAAACAAAACUAUAGGGUCCACAGAAGCUCCUGGGGAUAGGAUGGGAUGUAAGGUACAUCUAUAGCACACACCUUGCUUUUGCCAGGAGCAGUGAGUUUCACCAAAGCAGGAGUUAAUGUUUACUAAUGACCAGCGUUGGGGAAGGACCCACAAAUCCGUAAAGGAGUCAAAUAACCAAGCAUUUUAGUUUUUGCUUUAUUUUCAAAGAAACUCAAUAUUCAACCUAAUAACAUUUUUUUUUUUUUUUGAGACAAAGUGUCACUACAUCACCCUUGUGAUGCUGUGGCAUCACAGCUUAUAACAACCUCAAACUCUUGGGCUUAGGUGAUUCUCUUGCUUCAGCCUCCCAAGUAGCUGGGACUACAGGUGCCUGCCACAACGCCUGUAGAGCAUUAAUAGAGAUGGGGUCUUGCUUUUGCUCAGGCUGGCCUCGAACUGGUGAGCUCAAGCAAUUCACCCGCCUUGGCCACCCAGAGUGCUAGGAUUACAGACGUGAGCCGGCUAGGAAGAUAUCUUAAAAAUGCUUUCAUUACUUUACAACACUAUCCAUUACCAUUGCCGCAUAACAAACUAGUUCAGAAGGCAAUGGCAUAAAACAACUUACGCAUCUGUUUCUGUGAAUUAGGAAUCCCUGGUAAUGAUAAAUGUCUUUGCCUCAAGGUUUCUCCUAAAGCUGCAAUUUUGUUGUAUUCAGUGGUUUGCAGGAUAAUUUCUCACAGGUUGCUGGCUAUUGGUCUCUUCAUAGAGCUACUUGUAUAGCAGCUUACUUCCCUAGAAAAAGGGCUCCAAAGCAAGACUGAGCAAGAGAGAGCGUACACACAGAAGCCACAGCCCCUUUGUAAAUUGUAAAAUUUACUGUCACAAAGGCCAGCCUACACUUGAGGCAAGUGCAUUACAUGAAUACCCAGAAGUGGAACCCUUUUAAUAGUUUUUUUUGGGUCAGGAAUGGUAGCUCAUGCUUGUAAUCCUAGCAAUCUGGGAGGCUGAGUUGCUUGAGGUCAGGAGUUUGAGACCAGCCAAACAAGGGACACUUGCACCCACAUAAAAAAUAGAAAAAUUAGCUGGAUGUGGUAGCACUUGCUGGUAAUUUGAGGGGCCAGUGAGCUAUGAUGAUGCCACUAUACUCUAGCCUGGAUUACAGCAAGACUGUCUCCAAAAAAAAAGUUGUUUGUUUUUGCCUGGGGGUGGUAACUACCUGCACUCUGGGAGGCCAGGAGUUUGAGAAAAGCCUGGGCAACAGCAAGACGCUGUCUCUAUAAAAAAUAGUGAAAACAAUUGGCUGCAAGUCCCUGCUACUUAGACAUGAGGAUCACUUGAGCACAGGAAUUAGAGGCUGCAGGGAGCUAUGAUCACACUACUGCACUCCAGCCUGGGCAGCAGAGUGAGACGGUCUCAAAAGUUCUUUUCUGGGCAGCGCCUGUGGCUCAAGGAGUAGGGCGCUGGCCCCAUAUACCAGGGGUGGUGGGAUUGAAUCAAGCCCUGGCCAAAAACUGCAAAAAAAAAAAUUGUUUUACGGUUAUAAUUAAUUUUCUGCUUAAAUGAGGACUGCAGCAUGCAAAAGAAUAAAGAUCUGAUUCUGACAGCUUUAUAUGCUGAUGGAUAUGUGUUCUAUACAUCGAUGAAGAUGAAAGCAGGACUCCAACCCUGAAAACUCAUCCCACUUUUGUUAUCCAUCCUCAGAGGAUUUAGGAUAGGGGUUUACACUAAAUUUAUUUCCAACACCAACCAUACUCCCUUCUCUACAGCUAGUGAAUCCAAGACCACCUGUGCUAACAAUGAUAUCUGAGUGGUACAAUUUAUAGGCAGUCUAGUUCUGUUAUGUUGGAAGGCAAGGCUUGUUAUUUUUAUGUUAAAACAGCCAAAAAUUAGAUCUGAAUUCUGGACAAAAAGGAGAGAUAAUAAAAACUUGGAAGAAUAUAAAAUCAAAGUGAACAUCUAUGUAUUAGAAACCUUUCUCCUUUGGCCUGGCGCAGUGGCUCACAUCUUUAAUCCUAGCACUCUGGGAAGCUGAGGUGGGUGGAUAGCUUGAGCUCACAGACCAGCAUGAGUAAGAGCCAGACUCUGUCUCUAAAAAUAGCUGGGCAUUGAGACAAGAGGAUCGCUUGAGCCCAAGAGUCUGAAGUGG
This is an RNA transcript of Nycticebus coucang (slow loris), 5939 nucleotides long. It is a transcript of the gene named LHFPL tetraspan subfamily member 5, with no coding region annotated. The record is from RefSeq and is a predicted model, not a curated record. NCBI's taxonomy places the organism in Eukaryota, Metazoa, Chordata, Mammalia, Primates, Lorisidae. The transcript has 5 exons.